AACGAACGCUGGCGGCAGGCCUAACACAUGCAAGUCGAGCGAGGACUUCGGUCCUAGCGGCGGACGGGUGAGUAACGCGUGGGAACGUGCCCUUUGCUUCGGAAUAGCCCUGGGAAACUGGGAGUAAUACCGGAUGAGCCCUUUGGGGGAAAGAUUUAUCGGCGAAGGAUCGGCCCGCGUUGGAUUAGGUAGUUGGUGGGGUAAUGGCCUACCAAGCCGUCGAUCCAUAGCUGGUUUGAGAGGAUGAUCAGCCACACUGGGACUGAGACACGGCCCAGACUCCUACGGGAGGCAGCAGUGGGGAAUCUUAGACAAUGGGGGAAACCCUGAUCGAGCCAUGCCGCGUGAGCGAUGAAGGCCUUAGGGUUGUAAAGCUCUUUCAGCUGGGAAGAUAAUGACGGUACCAGCAGAAGAAGCCCCGGCUAACUCCGUG
This 433-nucleotide ribosomal RNA is filed under the name uncultured bacterium. RNAcentral describes it as "partial 16S ribosomal RNA". It matches the Rfam family "Bacterial small subunit ribosomal RNA", at positions 29 to 507 of the family's 1533-position model. The record is from RNAcentral.